CACGUAGGGGGCAAGCGUUGUCCGGAUUUAUUGGGCGUAAAGAGCUCGUAGGCGGUUCGGUAAGUCGGGUGUGAAACCUCCAGGCUCAACCUGGAGAUGCCACCUGAUACUGCUGUGACUCGAGUCCGGUAGGGGAGCGUGGAAUUCCUGGUGUAGCGGUGAAAUGCGCAGAUAUCAGGAGGAACACCAGCGGCGAAGGCGGCGCUCUGGGCCGGAACUGACGCUGAGGAGCGAAAGCCAGGGGAGCAAACGGG
Molecule: ribosomal RNA, 254 nt
Filed under: uncultured bacterium
Lineage: Bacteria
Description: partial 16S ribosomal RNA
Rfam family: Bacterial small subunit ribosomal RNA
Source: RNAcentral